GGUCACCUAGGCAUGGAGAGGGGUUGGCACUGUGUGUAGGGCAGGGUCUGCGGAGCAACUUGGGACCCUGACGUCUGGGGUCCCUUAUCCCUGGCCAGCAAGAGUCGAGCGCGCUUCUUUGCGCAGGCAGACCCGUGUAUGCAGCUCCGCAGAGGGGCAAUGGAAAGACGUGCGGGAGCAGCCCUGGUGCCCGAUAACCUACUUGGAGGGGUCCCACGCCCUCCAUGAAGAAGCCCCGCGUGGAGCUGCCCCCCCCCACCUUCGAAGGGCCAACCCAGGGCAGCCACCGCCCACCGGCCGAGAUGGCGGCGAGGGCGGCAUUGUGGGAAAUGUAGUUCGGGGCCGGGCCCCGCGUGGCUGCCAGGCACCCGGUGGAGACGGCCGGGGAGCGACCUGUGUUGGGGCUCCCUCCCUCAGCCGGCUGGCCAGCGUCCCGCAACCGGAGCGCGUACCGGCGAAGGAAACUGCGGCACAAAGAGGUUGCGAGCCGAGGAGUCAGGACUCAGGAUAAUGAAGACGGUGAGCUGCAGGAGAGGAGAAAGCUGUGUGGACUUUGCAGACGCCCAGGCUUUGGUCUCCCGGUUCCCCUUCAAAUCCACGUGUGUUAGGAAAUUACCUGGGCCCUGCCGAAGCCGGGCACCUAGAGUCUUAGCAGAUGCUCCACACUGUGAAACAAAUGACUGAAAGAAUGAAUGGGCGGGUGUGCUAAGUUGUACCCAGAUUGUAAAUUCAAGCUAGCCAGUGGGAGCAGCUUAGCAAGACCCCAUCUCUAAAUAAAUAAAUAAAUAAAUAAAUAAAU
This is a long non-coding RNA of Fukomys damarensis (Damara mole-rat), 799 nucleotides long. RefSeq lists it as uncharacterized. Lineage: Eukaryota; Metazoa; Chordata; Mammalia; Rodentia; Bathyergidae. The transcript is spliced from 2 exons. The record is from RefSeq and is a predicted model, not a curated record.